CUAACUAGCUCCUUUAGUGAUUCCAGUAUUAAUUUUUUCGAUUUAGACAUCAGUAUUCAGGACUUUAGGAUCAUCACUAAAAAUCACUUCAAACCUAUAGAUGCAAAUAGCUACAUCAAAAAAAGCAGCUGCCACCACAAUCCUUGGCUUAAUAAUGCUCCUAAAAGCCAAUUUAUAAGAAUUAGACGUAACUGCAAAUUAGAUAUAGAUUAUCUAGAACAGGCCAAUUAUAUUAAACAACAGUUUAUGGAAAAUGGAUAUAAUGAAGCACUUCUUAAUCAAGGCAUAGAUGAAGUAGGAAAACUAAAAAGAGAAAAUCUUAUUCAAUAUAAACAAAAGAACAUAUUAGCCGAUACUAAUGAAAUUCCUUUUAUUUGCAAUUUUAACAGGCAAAAUAAACGCAUACAGCACACUAUAAAAAAACACUGGCACUUACUCAAGG
This is a non-coding RNA of Pelobates cultripes (western spadefoot toad), 442 nucleotides long. Lineage: Eukaryota; Metazoa; Chordata; Amphibia; Anura; Pelobatidae. The record is from the annotation of a GenBank genome assembly.